AAAAUAUUGGGUACACGCUAAAGCCGAUACUCUGGGAGCUUUUCAACAGCGUUGUGCUUUAGCUAGGAAGCAGUCGAAAUUCUACGGAGAUCUGCAGAAUGUAUAACUAAAGACAUCGCUAUAUUUCGUGCCAAACCGUGAUUGAAGCGUUGUGGUAAGGUCGUGUGUGUGUUAUUGUGGAGCAACUGUGAACCUCCGUAUCAUGCACCUAUCUUGAAUUCAAGAUAUCUAGUGGCACUGAACGAUACCUCAUAACAACAAACGGCGCUAAUGUCCAUUGUGACCAUGGGCAUCAACUUACCAGCGAAUCUAUUCAACAUUGUCGUUGAAGUUAUUUCCUUCGCUGCUCUCAUCUGAUCCUGUUCUGAUCGUUGGCACAGACUGACCUAUCGCUCGUUUAUGGAGCCCAGGUGCGCAAUGUUUUGAGUGUUCACGUCCGUCCGUUCGGCAUACCAUCAGGCGAGCGGCUCGCAGCACGAAACAAAGCGUGUCCACGUUUGGAUUCGAAUUUAAACACCCAUGUUUAUUCAAUAGCAGGUAAACAAGUUACCCACCACGCCCAUCACAAGAAGUCGUUUAAGAUGUAUCUACCUCCUCCGAAAUCUUCGAUCUCCUAACUCCGUUCUUCGAAUGACUAACUCAGCAAUAAACUGGAACUUCGGUGAAAGU
This is a long non-coding RNA of Varroa destructor (honeybee mite), 669 nucleotides long. RefSeq lists it as uncharacterized. Lineage: Eukaryota; Metazoa; Arthropoda; Arachnida; Mesostigmata; Varroidae. The record is from RefSeq and is a predicted model, not a curated record.